Small nuclear RNA from Penaeus monodon (black tiger shrimp), 115 nucleotides. RefSeq annotates it as U5 spliceosomal RNA. The transcript has a single exon. NCBI's taxonomy places the organism in Eukaryota, Metazoa, Arthropoda, Malacostraca, Decapoda, Penaeidae. The record is from RefSeq and is a predicted model, not a curated record.
AUACUCUGUUUCCCUCAAACGCUAUAAAUCUUCGCCUUUUACUAAAAGGUUUCCGUGGAGGGGAACACUCUAGUGUCUAUUCAAUGUUUAUUCUAAUAGCCCACUUCUGGCUCUG